Sorghum bicolor (sorghum) is the source of this 784-nucleotide long non-coding RNA. RefSeq lists it as uncharacterized. Lineage: Eukaryota; Viridiplantae; Streptophyta; Magnoliopsida; Poales; Poaceae. The record is from RefSeq and is a predicted model, not a curated record. The transcript is spliced from 2 exons.
UCGGCGUGGCGGACUCCAGGAACCGCGGCCGGAGGCGUCGCCUCACGAUGGCGCCGGCCAUCAAGCGCUCUGUUCAGAUUUCGUCCUCUGGUGUGAAAACCGGCGAGGAAGAGGAGGCGGUGGAGGACGAGGCGAGGUGUGCAGCAGGUCGACAGGCUCUGGCACGCUUCGUCACUUUGGUUGCGGAUGCAACCGAGCGGCCGAAGCCUGUCCAUGGUGUGCAGGUCCCCGCUGAUGCGAUUCGUUCCAAGUUCUGGGCUUAGCAGGGGGAUUCUUCCGACAACGACGACGCCGAAGACGAACCUGCCUCGCCAACGACACCGGAACUUGUCAACGCCGCUCUGCAAGAGGGUUUCACCGUCGAGCAGCUGCUGCGGGCAGAGGACGCUCUACAGCCAGGUACUCUUCAGAGGAACACACUGGCUUCGUCAGUGGGCAAAUCUGCAGCGGCAUGAUGUUCUUCGAGAGCAGCUGAUCCAUGUUGGAACUUACCUUGAGACAUCAGCUCUGCAGUUUUUUAGUGCCCGUGGAUGGUUAGCUGCUAGAUAUAUUGGUCAUGUUUAGUUCAAAAAAUUUUAUUUCGUUUUGCUUGGUCGAUUUGUUGGCUGUCAAGAACUCUUUGUAAUUAUUGGUCUGAUUCUAUCAGUUGAUAGAAGAAGCCGGAUAUAAACUAUCCCUUAUCUAAAAAACAGUGGACAGUGGUGGCGUGGUGCUUAUGUCAUAUGUAGGUCCAGCCCAUUUUGGAUGAUUCUUUGAAGCUAUAUCUGCUGGUUAGACACACAAA